Molecule: ribosomal RNA, 301 nt
Filed under: uncultured bacterium
Lineage: Bacteria
Description: partial 16S ribosomal RNA
Rfam family: Bacterial small subunit ribosomal RNA
Source: RNAcentral
CAGUAGCCGCGGGAAUACGAAGGGGGCUAGCGUUGCUCGGAAUGACUGGGCGUAAAGGGCGCGUAGGCGGUUUAUACAGUCAGAUGUGAAAUUCCUGGGCUCAACCUGGGGACUGCAUUUGAUACGUAUGGACUUGAGUGGAGGAGAGGGUCGUGGAAUUUCCAGUGUAGAGGUGAAAUUCGUAGAUAUUGGAAAGAACACCGGUGGCGAAGGCGGCGACCUGGCCUUUAACUGACGCUGAGGCGCGAAAGCGUGGGGAGCAAACAGGAUUAGAUACCCCGGUAGUCCCUGUCUCUUAUAC